AUACGUAGGUGGCAAGCGUUGUCCGGAUUUAUUGGGCGUAAAGCGAGUGCAGGCGGUCUUUUAAGUCUGAUGUGAAAGCCUUCGGCUUAACCGAAGAAGGGCAUCGGAAACUGGGAGAUUUGAGUGCAGAAGAGGAGAGUGGAACUCCAUGUGUAGCGGUGGAAUGCGUGGAUAUAUGGAAGAACACCAGUGGCGAAGGCGGCUGUCUGGUCUGUAACUGACGCUGAGGCUCGAAAGUAUGGGUAGC
This 247-nucleotide ribosomal RNA is filed under the name uncultured bacterium. Its description in RNAcentral is "partial 16S ribosomal RNA". It matches the Rfam family "Bacterial small subunit ribosomal RNA", at positions 523 to 769 of the family's 1533-position model. The record is from RNAcentral.